GCAUUAGUAGCUCAGCCCCAGAGCGCCGGUC
Molecule: transfer RNA, 31 nt
Filed under: Microctenopoma damasi
Lineage: Eukaryota; Metazoa; Chordata; Actinopteri; Anabantiformes; Anabantidae
Description: partial tRNA-Thr
Source: RNAcentral